This is a long non-coding RNA of Peromyscus eremicus (cactus mouse), 815 nucleotides long. RefSeq lists it as uncharacterized. The transcript is spliced from 4 exons. Lineage: Eukaryota; Metazoa; Chordata; Mammalia; Rodentia; Cricetidae. The record is from RefSeq and is a predicted model, not a curated record.
CAGACCUCUAGGCAUGUUUGUGUGGGCUUAUCUUGACUGCAUUCACUGAAAUGGGAAGAUGCAUCCUCUGCUGAUGGCUGCUGUGGAUAUCGCUCUGUGUAAAUAAAAUGCUGAUUGGCCAGUAGCCAGGCAGGAAGUAUAGGCGGGAUAAGCAGAGAAGAGAAUUCUGGGAACAGGAAGGCUGAGUCUCAGAGACGCUGCCAGCCACCACCAUAACAAGCAAGAUGUAAGGUACCGACACCAGAGGGCAACACGGAAGUAAAGACUUCAUUCAAAAGCCAAGGUCGAAGAAGGAAGCAGUGCCAGCAGUCCAGCCUACCCUCAGACACCCUGCGCUUCCUCUGGAGGCAUUUCCUGGUUUUGAAGAAACAGCAGACAGGCUGAGAACCUGCACAGAGCUGAGGGACAGAAGUCAGCAUGUAAGGGGUGUUGAGGAAGAGAGGUCCUGCUAAGACCACCUGGCUGAAAGUGGAGACCUUUAAAGAAGAAAUUGUCCCAAAUUGUCUCACAGAAGCUUUGUGCAAAGGGAAGAAGAGACUCUUGAUCACAUUAACUCAAAUGAAGAGAGGUGUGCAUAAAUCUAUGUGUAAGGGACACGUGACUCUGACAGGACAAAGCAUGGGUAAGGAGCCACCUCCUCUGAGAGAACUGGAAUGGCAGGUUAGAGCAGGACCCGAAUCUCCUGAAAAUUGGAUGUUGUCAGACACUGAAGGCUCCAUGGGUGAUUGUUUUGUUACUUGUUUCCUCUCUUAUUUGCUUGCCUAAAAUCCUGAGAUGUUACUUUAUUUUUUUCCCAUGUCCCAGACUAAUUAAUA